Molecule: ribosomal RNA, 201 nt
Filed under: uncultured bacterium
Lineage: Bacteria
Description: partial 16S ribosomal RNA
Rfam family: Bacterial small subunit ribosomal RNA
Source: RNAcentral
GCAGGCUGCAACUCGCCUGCAUGAAGUUGGAAUUGCUAGUAAUCGCGAAUCAGAAUGUCGCGGUGAAUACGUUCCCGGGCCUUGUACACACCGCCCGUCACACCAUGAGAGUCGAUAACACCCGAAGCCUGUGAGCUAACCGUAAGGAGGCAGCAGUCGAAGGUGGGGUUGAUGAUUGGGGUGAAGUCGUAACAAGGUAAC